Molecule: ribosomal RNA, 253 nt
Filed under: uncultured bacterium
Lineage: Bacteria
Description: partial 16S ribosomal RNA
Rfam family: Bacterial small subunit ribosomal RNA
Source: RNAcentral
UACGAAGGGGGCUAGCGUUGCUCGGAAUCACUGGGCGUAAAGCGCACGUAGGCGGCUUCUUAAGUCAGGGGUGAAAUCCUGGAGCUCAACUCCAGAACUGCCUUUGAUACUGAGGAGCUUGAGUCCGGGAGAGGGAUGUGGAAUUCCAGGUGUAGCGGUGAAAUGCGUAGAUAUCUGGAGGAACACCGGUGGCGAAGGCGGCAUCCUGGACCGGUAUUGACGCUGAGGCGCGAAAGCUAGGGGAGCAAACGGG